Molecule: ribosomal RNA, 253 nt
Filed under: uncultured bacterium
Lineage: Bacteria
Description: partial 16S ribosomal RNA
Rfam family: Bacterial small subunit ribosomal RNA
Source: RNAcentral
UACGUAGGUGGCAAGCGUUGUCCGGAUUUAUUGGGUUUAAAGGGUGCGUAGGCGGCCCUGUAAGUCAGUUGUGAAAUCUCCGGGCUUAACUCGGAAAGGUCAACUGAUACUGUGCGACUAGAGUGCGGAAGGGGCAACUGGAAUUCUCGGUGUAGCGGUGAAAUGCGUAGAUAUCGAGAGGAACACCUGCGGCGAAGGCGGGUUGCUGGGCCGACACUGACGCUGAUGCGCGAAAGCCAGGGGAGCGAACGGG